Molecule: ribosomal RNA, 250 nt
Filed under: uncultured prokaryote
Description: partial 16S ribosomal RNA
Rfam family: Bacterial small subunit ribosomal RNA
Source: RNAcentral
UACGUAGGGUGCGAGCGUUAAUCGGAAUUACUGGGCGUAAAGCGUGCGCAGGCGGUUUGUUAAGACCGAUGUGAAAUCCCCGGGCUCAACCUGGGAACUGCAUUGGUGACUGGCAGGCUUUGAGUAUGGCAGAGGGGGGUAGAAUUCCACGUGUAGCAGUGAAAUGCGUAGAGAUGUGGAGGAAUACCGAUGGCGAAGGCAGCCCCCUGGGCCAAUACUGACGCUCAUGCACGAAAGCGUGGGGAGCAAA